RNAcentral lists this ribosomal RNA (250 nucleotides) under uncultured prokaryote. RNAcentral's name for it is "partial 16S rRNA". It matches the Rfam family "Bacterial small subunit ribosomal RNA", at positions 525 to 775 of the family's 1533-position model. The record is from RNAcentral.
ACGUAGGGGGCAAGCGUUAUCCGGAAUUAUUGGGCGUAAAGAGUGCGUAGGUGGUUUUUUAAGCGUGAGGUGAAAGGCAAUAGCUUAACUAUUGUAAGCCUUGCGAACUGGAAGACUUGAGUGCAGGAGAGGAAAGUGGAAUUCCUAGUGUAGCGGUGGAAUGCGUAGAUAUUAGGAGGAACACCAGUGGCGAAGGAGAAUGUCUGGACUUAAACUGACGCUGAGCCGCGUGAACGUGGGUAACAAAAAG